GAUGAACGCUGGCGGCGUGCCUAAUACAUGCAAGUCGAGCGAACGGACGAGAAGCUUGCUUCUCUGAUGUUAGCGGCGGACGGGUGAGUAACACGUGGAUAACCUACCUAUAAGACUGGGAUAACUUCGGGAAACCGGAGCUAAUACCGGAUGAUAUUUUGAACCGCAUGGUUCAAAAGUGAAAGACGGUCUUGCUGUCACUUAUAGAUGGAUCCGCGCUGCAUUAGCUAGUUGGUAAGGUAACGGCUUACCAAGGCAACGAUGCAUAGCCGACCUGAGAGGGUGAUCGGCCACACUGGGACUGAGACACGGUCCAGACUCCUACGGGAGGCAGCAGUAGGGAAUCUUCCGCAAUGGGCGAAAGCCUGACGGAGCAACGCCGCGUGAGUGAUGAAGGUCUUCGGAUCGUAAAACUCUGUUAUUAGGGAAGAACAUAUGUGUAAGUAACUGUGCACAUCUUGACGGUACCUAAUCAGAAAGCCACGGCUAACUACGU
This 496-nucleotide ribosomal RNA is filed under the name uncultured bacterium. RNAcentral's name for it is "partial 16S ribosomal RNA". It matches the Rfam family "Bacterial small subunit ribosomal RNA", at positions 28 to 506 of the family's 1533-position model. The record is from RNAcentral.